UGCGCAGGCGGUUUUGUAAGACAGUGGUGAAAUCCCGGGGCUCAACCCCGGAACUGCCUUUGAUACUGGAAGUCUUGAGUAUGGUAGAGGUGAGUGGAAUUCCGAGUGUAGAGGUGAAAUUCGUAGAUAUUCGGAGGAACACCAGUGGCGAAGGCGGCUCACUGGACCAUUACUGACGCUGAGGUGCGAAAGCGUGGGGAGCAAACAGGAUUAGAUACCCGCGUA
Molecule: ribosomal RNA, 225 nt
Filed under: uncultured Brucella sp.
Lineage: Bacteria; Pseudomonadati; Pseudomonadota; Alphaproteobacteria; Hyphomicrobiales; Brucellaceae
Description: partial 16S ribosomal RNA
Rfam family: Bacterial small subunit ribosomal RNA
Source: RNAcentral